GGUUAGGUGGUGUGGUGGUAACACCCUUGCUAUAUAUGCAGAAGCCCUGGGUCCAAUUCCCAGUCUGGCCA
Hysterangium stoloniferum is the source of this 71-nucleotide non-coding RNA. NCBI's taxonomy places the organism in Eukaryota, Fungi, Basidiomycota, Agaricomycetes, Hysterangiales, Hysterangiaceae. The record is from the annotation of a GenBank genome assembly.